RNAcentral lists this ribosomal RNA (500 nucleotides) under uncultured bacterium. RNAcentral's name for it is "partial 16S ribosomal RNA". It matches the Rfam family "Bacterial small subunit ribosomal RNA", at positions 30 to 523 of the family's 1533-position model. The record is from RNAcentral.
AUUGAACGCUGGCGGAAUGCGUUACACAUGCAAGUCGAACGGCAGCACGGACUUCGGUCUGGUGGCGAGUGGCGAACGGGUGAGUAAUACAUCGGAACGUGCCCAGUCGUGGGGGAUAACGUAGCGAAAGCAACGCUAAUACCGCAUACGAUCUAAGGAUGAAAGCGGGGGACCGUAAGGCCUCGCGCGAUUGGAGCGGCCGAUGGCAGAUUAGGUAGUUGGUGGGGUAAAGGCUCACCAAGCCGACGAUCUGUAGCUGGUCUGAGAGGACGACCAGCCACACUGGGACUGAGACACGGCCCAGACUCCUACGGGAGGCAGCAGUGGGGAAUUUUGGACAAUGGGCGCAAGCCUGAUCCAGCCAUUCCGCGUGCAGGAUGAAGGCCCUCGGGUUGUAAACUGCUUUUGUACGGAACGAAAAGGCUCUGGUUAAUACCUGGGGCUCAUGACGGUACCGUAAGAAUAAGCACCGGCUAACUACGUGCCAGCAGCCGCAGUAA